RNAcentral lists this ribosomal RNA (253 nucleotides) under uncultured prokaryote. Its description in RNAcentral is "partial 16S ribosomal RNA". It matches the Rfam family "Bacterial small subunit ribosomal RNA", at positions 524 to 776 of the family's 1533-position model. The record is from RNAcentral.
UACGGAGGGUGCAAGCGUUAUCCGGAUUCACUGGGCUUAAAGGGUGCGUAGGUGGGCAGGUAAGUCAGUGGUGAAAUCUCCGGGCUUAACCCGGAAACUGCCGUUGAUACUAUCUGCCUUGAAUAUCGUGGAGAUGAGCGGAAUAUGUCAUGUAGCGGUGAAAUGCUUAGAUAUGACAUAGAACACCGAUUGCGAAGGCAGCUCGUUACACGGUUAUUGACACUGAGGCACGAAAGCGUGGGGAUCAAACAGG